UAGAGUUCGGUGAAAAAAUGGACAAUACUAUCAAAACCCCAGCAAGGGGAAUCCAAAAGGUUAGCUUGGAGAAUUAAACAAAGUAGUUUAGUACAGAAGCAAGGCAGUUUCAGCGUUAAACCUGAUAACGUGAGAUUGAGGCCUUAUAAAAUGGAAUUUGGAUGCAUUUGGAGCAGAAGACAGAAGAAUGGGAAUAAUUUUCAGGCAGUGUGUCUAGUUUCACAGAGCAAUUGAAGGUGACAGGGACAGAGAGAGAGGGAGCGGGAGGGAGGGACAGAGGGAGGACACAUCACAGUAUCGCCCGCGGCUACACAACAGUACAGGAAGAGCGAGAGAUGGAGGGACAAAGAAAGGGAAGGAGAGACUCACCAAAGUCCUCCCAGUGAAUCCGAUAAGCAGAAGCUACCGUUAACUUUUGGAUGCAAGGCAGCCAUCUUGGAUUCAGUGGAUGAGAUUGGCUUCAGCAAAUCAAACAUUGCAGUGGACAAGAACAAAUUUUGUCAUUUUUUUUUCAUGUCCUGUUUGAAAAUCUCUGUCGUUUAUAGUUAAAAAAUGUUGGAGAACCACUGGUUUAGAUUAUUUUACAUUUUUCACUUUAUUACCAGAGACUGGAGCCAAAUCAUUGUAGUUUUGAUCAUUUCAUUAAAUGUCUUGUGGAGAAUAUUUUGCAUCAUUUGUACUCCAUAGAGCGACAUUUCAUACCCAAUUUCACACUGAAAUAUGUAAUCCAGUCUUCUUUACGCUACUUGGAAAAGUUUUUCAUGUGACUCCAAUACAAAUCGAACAACAGAAGCUUAGAGAUGUUUUGAUCUGGAUUUUUAUUCUGAUUCAUAAAAUUCAACUGGUUUAAAUGGGAGAAACUGACAAUUUCAUUAAAUUAUGAGAUUUCACUAAUUUUGUGACAAUUUAUCUUUAUAAUUAAUGAAUAUGCUGAUACAGUUUAAGUGGAUGGAUAUUUAACUACAGAUGGGAAAUGGAGGAAGAGGAAGAUGAAAUGGGAAGGUAGAAAUACAAAAUGUGGUUACAAACUGGGAAAAAUGGGAAGAAACUGGGAUGAGAAUCGACAACAUGGACGAACAAAUUCAUCCCAAAUGUUUUCCUGAGGCAACGCUACUGCUUGAUUUAAUAAUUAAUGAUUAUAGCAGUGAUAAUUGUAGUUGAGAUUUUUUUUAAUCACAUUUUUCCUGGAUUUACCCGUACAUAGAGCAGGGGCGUCCAAAGAGCGGCCAUUCGUGGCCUUUGUGUUAUUUUUGUGUGGCCACAACUCAAGAAUGGCACGUUUGUCCCUCUGACACUUUUUGCAAUUUUU
Long non-coding RNA from Poecilia latipinna (sailfin molly), 1309 nucleotides. RefSeq lists it as uncharacterized. The record is from RefSeq and is a predicted model, not a curated record. The transcript has 4 exons. NCBI's taxonomy places the organism in Eukaryota, Metazoa, Chordata, Actinopteri, Cyprinodontiformes, Poeciliidae.